This 253-nucleotide ribosomal RNA is filed under the name uncultured bacterium. RNAcentral describes it as "partial 16S ribosomal RNA". It matches the Rfam family "Bacterial small subunit ribosomal RNA", at positions 524 to 776 of the family's 1533-position model. The record is from RNAcentral.
UACAGAGGUCCCGAGCGUUGUUCGGAUUCAUUGGGCGUAAAGGGUGCGUAGGUGGCGCUGUAAGUGGGGUGUGAAAUCCCGGGGCUUAACUCCGGAACUGCAUUCCAUACUGCGGUGCUUGAGGACUGGAGAGGAGACUGGAAUUUACGGUGUAGCAGUGAAAUGCGUAGAGAUCGUAAGGAAGACCAGUGGCGAAGGCGGGUCACUGGACUGGUAUUGACGCUGAGGUGCGAAAGCGUGGGGAGCAAACAGG